GCCUUUGUAGCUUAAUGGUAGAGCAACUGCUUCGUAAGCAGUAGGUUGUGGGUUCAAGUCCCACCUAAGGCU
Molecule: transfer RNA, 72 nt
Filed under: Candidatus Diapherotrites archaeon CG09_land_8_20_14_0_10_32_12
Lineage: Archaea; Nanobdellati; Candidatus Iainarchaeota
Description: tRNA-Thr
Rfam family: tRNA
About the family: Transfer RNA (tRNA) molecules are approximately 80 nucleotides in length. Their secondary structure includes four short double-helical elements and three loops (D, anti-codon, and T loops).
Source: RNAcentral